AGCCAUGCAUGUCUAAGUAUAAGCACUUGUACUGUGAAACUGCGAAUGGCUCAUUAAAUCAGUUAUCGUUUAUUUGAUUGUACCUUACUACAUGGAUACCUGUGGUAAUUCUAGAGCUAAUACAUGCGAAAAGUCCCAACUUCUGGAAGGGAUGUAUUUAUUAGAUUAAAAACCAAUGCAAGUCUUCGGGCUCGUUUUCUUGGUGAUUCAUGAUAACUUUUCGAAUCGCAUGGCCUAGAGCCGGCGAUACUUCAUUCAAAUUUCUGCCCUAUCAACUGUCGAUGGUAAGGUAGUGGCUUACCAUGGUUAUAACGGGUGACGGAGAAUUAGGGUUCGAUUCCGGAGAGGGAGCCUGAGAAACGGCUACCACAUCUAAGGAAGGCAGCAGGCUCGAAAAUUACCCAAUCCCGACUCGGGGAGGUAGUGACAAGAAAUAACGAUACGGGGUCUUAAUAGGUCUCGCAAUUGGAAUGAGUACAAUUUAAAUCCUUUAACGAGGAUCAAUUGGAGGGCAAGUCUGGUGCCAGCAGCCGCGGUAAUUCCAGCUCCAAUAGCGUAUAUUAAAGUUGUUGCAGUUAAAAAGCUCGUAGUUGGAUUUCGGAGUGGGCCAGUUGGUCCGCCGCAAGGUGUGUUACUGACUGGUUUGCUCUUCUUCGCAAAGACUGCGUGUGCUCUUGAGUGAGUGUGCGUAGAAUUUACGACGUUUACUUUGAAAAAAUUAGAGUGUUCAAAGCAGGCUAUUGCUUGAAUACAUGAGCAUGGAAUAAUGGAAUAGGACUUUGGUCCCAUUUUGUUGGUUUCUAGGGCCGAAGUAAUGAUUAAGAGGGACAAUUGGGGGCAUCCGUAUUUCGUUGUCAGAGGUGAAAUUCUUGGAUUUACGAAAGACGAACAACUGCGAAAGCACUUGCCAAGAGUGUUUUCAUUAAUCAAGAACGAAAGUUAGAGGAUCGAAGACGAUCAGAUACCGUCCUAGUUCUAACCAUAAACGAUGUC
Molecule: ribosomal RNA, 993 nt
Filed under: uncultured eukaryote
Lineage: Eukaryota
Description: SSU rRNA
Rfam family: Eukaryotic small subunit ribosomal RNA
Source: RNAcentral